AUUGAACGCUGGCGGCAUGCUUUACACAUGCAAGUCGAACGGUAACAGGCCUUCGGGUGCUGACGAGUGGCGAACGGGUGAGUAAUGCAUCGGAACGUACCCAGAGGUGGGGGAUAACGCAGCGAAAGCUGUGCUAAUACCGCAUGUGAUCUGAGGAUGAAAGCGGGGGACCGAGCAGCAAUGUUUGGCCUCGCGCCUUUGGAGCGGCCGAUGUCGGAUUAGCUAGUUGGUGGGGUAAAGGCCUACCAAGGCGACGAUCCGUAGCUGGUCUGAGAGGACGACCCGGCAACCUGGGACUGAGACAAGGCCCCGACCCCUACCGGAGGCAACAGGGGGGAAAUUUUGACCAAUGGCGCCAGGCUGAUCCAACAAAGCCGCGUGCGGGAAGGAGGGCUUCCGGUUGGAAACCGCUUUUGGCAGGAACGAAACCGGGUCCGCUAAAACCGGGCGCUAAUGACGGUACCUUCAGAAUAAGCACCGGCUAACUACGUG
Molecule: ribosomal RNA, 492 nt
Filed under: uncultured bacterium
Lineage: Bacteria
Description: partial 16S ribosomal RNA
Rfam family: Bacterial small subunit ribosomal RNA
Source: RNAcentral